GGACACCUUUCUUGAACUGGGAUUCUCUUUUCAGCUUUGGUGAUAAAUCCAAUAGGGUUAUUAUUGCUGUUAGUAUUAAUCUUCUCUUUCUCUUCUUUGGCACCACUGAAAGAUAUUGUUGUUACAUCCUGAGAAGCCUCAUUGAGUGGUCUGUGAGUUGCUGGAUCAAUACCUCUGCUCAAUAGCUUCCUUCUUAUAUGCGUGUUCCAGUAAUUCUUUAUCUCAUUAUCUGUUCUUCCUGGUAAUCUCCCAGCUAUAAGAGACCACCUAUAAAAUUCAAGGAAUCCCCCAUAAAAAACCAAUCAAAAUUUCAAGCACCACACACUAACAAAGUUGAAUAUAUCAUCUAUCUAUAUAUAUACAACACUUACUUGUUACCAAGAAGGCUGUGCAGCUUGAUAAUGAGCUCAUCUUCUUCUUCAGUGAAAUUGCCACGUUUAAGAUCAGGUCUUAAGUAAUUGAUCCAACGAAGUCUACAACUUUUGCCACAGCGGAGAAGGCCAGCAGCUUUAGGGAGUGAACGCCAGCAACCUUCACCAUGGGCUCGGAUGUAAGCUAUGAGGCGAUCAUCUUCUUCUUUAGUCCACGCACCUUU
Molecule: long non-coding RNA, 595 nt
Filed under: Gossypium barbadense (sea-island cotton)
Lineage: Eukaryota; Viridiplantae; Streptophyta; Magnoliopsida; Malvales; Malvaceae
Description: long non-coding RNA (GBAR_LNC000831)
Source: RNAcentral